RNAcentral lists this ribosomal RNA (253 nucleotides) under uncultured bacterium. RNAcentral's name for it is "partial 16S ribosomal RNA". It matches the Rfam family "Bacterial small subunit ribosomal RNA", at positions 524 to 776 of the family's 1533-position model. The record is from RNAcentral.
UACGUAGGGUGCGAGCGUUGUCCGGAAUUAUUGGGCGUAAAGAGCGUGUAGGCGGUUAGGUAGGUCCGUUGUGAAAACUCGAGGCUCAACCUCGAGACGCCGAUGGAAACCCCCUAACUAGAGUCCGGAAGAGGAGAGUGGAAUUCCUGGUGUAGCGGUGAAAUGCGCAGAUAUCAGGAAGAACACCCGUGGCUAAGGCGGCUCUCUAGUACGGUACUGACGCUGAGACGCGAAAGCGUGGGGAGCGAACAGG